UUUCCCCAGAAUUCCGGAUUGCGAAGGCCAGUUUUCUUCCGUUUGUCCUGACGUGGAGGGGCGAAAAGCCUGGGGGAGCGAACAGGAUUAGAUUACCCUGUUAGUCCACGCCGUUAACCGAUGGAUACUAGUUGUUGGGCAUUAGCUCAGUGACUAAGCGAAAAGUGAUAAGUAUCCCACCUGGGGAGUACGGUCGCAAGACUGAAACUCAAAGGAAUUGACGGGGGCCCGCACAAGCGGUGGAGCAUGUGGUUUAAUUCGAUGAUACGCGAGGAACCUUACCAGGGCUUAAAUGUAGUAUGACAGGUUUAGAGAUAGACUUUUCUUCGGACAUAUUACAAGGUGCUGCAUGGUUGUCGUCAGCUCGUGCCGUGAGGUGUCAGGUUAAGUCCUAUAACGAGCGCAACCCCUGUCGUUAGUUGCCAGCAUGUUAUGAUGGGGACUCUAACGAGACUGCCUACGCAAGUAGAGAGGAAGGUGGGGAUGACGUCAAAUCAUCACGGCCCUUACGUCCUGGGCCACACACGUGCUACAAUGGUAUGGACAAUGAGCAGCCAUCUGGCAACAGAGAGCGAAUCUAUAAACCAUAUCACAGUUCGGAUCGGAGUCUGCAACUCGACUUCGUGAAGCUGGAAUCGCUAGUAAUCGGAUAUCAGCCAUGAUCCGGUGAAUACGUUCCCGGGCCUUGUACACACCGCCCGUCAAGCCAUGGAAGCUGGGAGUGCCUGAAGUCGGUCACCGCAAGGAGCCGCCUAGGGUAAAACUGGUAACUAGGGCUAAGUCGUAACAAGGUAGCCGUACCGGAAGGUGCGGCUG
This 816-nucleotide ribosomal RNA is filed under the name marine metagenome. RNAcentral's name for it is "bacterial SSU rRNA". It matches the Rfam family "Bacterial small subunit ribosomal RNA", at positions 696 to 1520 of the family's 1533-position model. The record is from RNAcentral.